This 1320-nucleotide long non-coding RNA is filed under the name Meriones unguiculatus (Mongolian gerbil). RNAcentral's name for it is "lncRNA (ENSMUGG00000007151.1)". The record is from RNAcentral. Lineage: Eukaryota; Metazoa; Chordata; Mammalia; Rodentia; Muridae.
CGUUUUCCUAGUCUCCCCCAGAAGAGGCCUGGCGCCUGUGACUCGGCUCUUAGGGCUGUUGCUGGGCCUGCUGUAGACCUGGACAGAGGCCUGUCGGAGUUCGCAGUGGCCCAGCGUAGGCUGGUCCACGGCUGGAAUGAGUUUGUCACUGAUAACACUGAGCCGGUGUGGAAGAAAUACCUGGAUCAGUUCAGCAGCCCCCUGAUCCUGCUGCUGCUGGGCUCUGCCGUGGUGAGCGUCCUCACCAAAGAGUACGAAGAUGCCAUCAGCAUCGCACUGGCCGUGCUCAUCGUGGUGACUGUCGGCUUCAUCCAGGAAUACAGGUCGGAGAAGUCUCUGGAAGAGCUGACCAAGCUGGUGCCUCCAGAGUGCAACUGCCUGAGGGAAGGCAAGCUGCAGCACCUGCUCGCACGAGACCUGGUCCCAGGAGACAUCGUCUCCCUGUCCACGGGAGACCGGAUCCCCGCUGACAUCCGUCUCAUUGAGGUCACAGACCUCCUGGUGGAUGAAUCCAGUUUCACCGGAGAAGUGGAGCCAUGCAGCAAAACUGACAGCGCAUUGCCAGGCGGUGGGGGCCUCGGCACCCUGAGCAACGUGGUCUUCAUGGGGACACUGGUGCAGUGUGGCAAGGGUCAGGGAGUUGUGAUCGGAACCGGGGAGCAGUCUCAGUUCGGAGAAGUGUUCAAGAUGAUGCAGGCGGAAGAGACCCCUAAAACUCCACUACAGAAGAGUAUGGACAAGCUGGGCAAGCAGCUGACAAUCUUCUCUUUUUGCAUCAUCGGUCUCCUGAUGCUGGUUGGCUGGGUGCAAGGGAAACCCCUUCUCAGCAUGUUCACCAUUGGGGUCAGCCUGGCGGUAGCGGCCAUUCCAGAGGGGCUUCCCAUCGUCGUCAUGGUGACGCUGGUCCUGGGGGUGCUGCGGAUGGCUAAGAAGCGGGUCAUCGUGAAGAAGCUGCCCAUCGUGGAGACUCUUGGCUGCUGUAAUGUCAUCUGCUCUGACAAGACGGGCACUCUGACGGCCAAUGAAAUGACAGCGACCCAGCUCUUCACAUCUGACGGGUUCCGAGCUGAGGUCAGUGGAGUCGGGUACAGUGGCGAAGGGACUGUGUGCCUCCUCCCCUCCAAGGAAGUAAUCAAGGGGUUCAGCAACGUGUCGGUGGGGAAGCUGGUGGAGGCAGGCUGUGUCGCCAACAAUGCUGUCAUCAGAAAGAACACUGUAAUGGGACAGCCCACAGAAGGAGCCCUGAUGGUGCUGGCCAUGAAGGUAAGAGGUCAGAAGAGCGCGUCCGUGUCCUCUGCGACUCUCCACUUGUUCCCUUGA